UACGUAGGUGGCAAGCGUUGUUCGGAAUUAUUGGGCGUAAAGGGCGCGUAGGCGGUUUGUUAAGUCGGCUGUGAAAGCCCGGGGCUCAACCCCGGAGGGUCAGCCGAUACUGGCAGACUAGAGUACGGAAGAGGUAGCUGGAAUUCCCGGUGUAGCGGUGAAAUGCGUAGAUAUCAGGAGGAACACCGGUGGCGAAGGCGGGUCUCUGGGCCGAUACUGACGCUGAGGAGCGAAAGCAUGGGUAGCGAACAGG
This 253-nucleotide ribosomal RNA is filed under the name uncultured bacterium. Its description in RNAcentral is "partial 16S ribosomal RNA". It matches the Rfam family "Bacterial small subunit ribosomal RNA", at positions 524 to 776 of the family's 1533-position model. The record is from RNAcentral.